GAUCAUGGCUCAGGAUGAACGCUAGCGGCAGGCUUAAUACAUGCAAGUCAAGGGGUAGCAAUACAACCGGCGCACGGGUGAGUAACGCGUACACAACAUACCAUAUACUGGAGUAUAGCUUUGGGAAACUGAAGGUAAUCCUCCAUAACAUUGCGAGAGGGCAUCUGAUUGCAAUUAAAGUUCCGGCGGUAUAUGAUUGGUGUGCGUUUGAUUAGCUAGUUGGUAGGGUAACGGCCUACCAAGGCGACGAUCAAUAGCUGGCGUGAGAGCGCGACCAGCCACACUGGAACUGAGACACGGUCCAGACUCCUACGGGAGGCAGCAGUAGGGAAUAUUGGACAAUGGGCGAAAGCCUGAUCCAGCCAUGCCGCGUGAUAGAUGAAGGCCCUCUGGGUUGUAAAUAUCUUUUAUCUGGGAAGAAACUCCUCUAUUCUUAGAGGCCUGACGGUACCAGAGGAAUAAGCACCGGCUAACUCCGUG
RNAcentral lists this ribosomal RNA (480 nucleotides) under uncultured bacterium. RNAcentral's name for it is "bacterial SSU rRNA". It matches the Rfam family "Bacterial small subunit ribosomal RNA", at positions 15 to 507 of the family's 1533-position model. The record is from RNAcentral.